UUUUUUUAUCCUUUGUUUAUUUUAUCAUUUGACCAAUGACAGAUUAUUUAUAUCUAUUGUAAUUUGUGUUGUAUUAAAAUGAGCACAUUACGUGAUUUACCAAAGAUUUUAAUAUUUUACUAUUUUGUGUUCAAGGGCUGUAUAAUUUAUAAUUUUUUUUAAAUAUAACUAUUGUUAACUGAUGUAACUUUUCUAUUGUUAUUUGUCCUCAUAAAAAAGAAGCCAAUUGAAUGUCGUUAUUCCGUUGUUCAUAGCAACGGAACUCAUAUAAUAAAUGAGAGGUGGACAAAUGAAUUAAUGAAUAAUUGUAAGUUUCUGAACUGUAUUUAUUGGAGAAAUGGGAAAGACGAUUCAUACAUAUCACCAUUUCAAUAUUAUUUCUAGGAUUAUGGUAUACUAAUAAAAUGUUUGUGCAGUUUAUGACCAACAAU
Long non-coding RNA from Daktulosphaira vitifoliae (grape phylloxera), 431 nucleotides. RefSeq lists it as uncharacterized. The record is from RefSeq and is a predicted model, not a curated record. The transcript has 3 exons. NCBI's taxonomy places the organism in Eukaryota, Metazoa, Arthropoda, Insecta, Hemiptera, Phylloxeridae.